Molecule: long non-coding RNA, 249 nt
Filed under: Elaeis guineensis (African oil palm)
Lineage: Eukaryota; Viridiplantae; Streptophyta; Magnoliopsida; Arecales; Arecaceae
Description: long non-coding RNA (EGUI_LNC058401)
Source: RNAcentral
GGUAGGUCAUGGAUAAAUUAUCAAAUCUCAACAUCGAUCAUAUUAUAGAUUCAAUCAGCUUAAGUCCAUAUGUGACUUUAUGAAAACUUCUUUUCAUUAAUCACACUACUAUGGCCAUAGACUUAAGUACUCAAUCUCUUAAAUCCUAUAGGACUACUCCCUUCUGUUAGGGUCAAUAGAUGCCAUCUUGAUGCACACCUUACUCCUAUAGUGGACCAACUGUCACCAACAUCUACUAUAAGGGCUCCU